Oreochromis niloticus (Nile tilapia) is the source of this 461-nucleotide long non-coding RNA. RefSeq lists it as uncharacterized. The transcript has 3 exons. The record is from RefSeq and is a predicted model, not a curated record. NCBI's taxonomy places the organism in Eukaryota, Metazoa, Chordata, Actinopteri, Cichliformes, Cichlidae.
GAAGGAGAGGAAAUGAUUGACUAACUGAAACAAGAAGGGAUAUUAUCAUGUCCGCAAAAUGCAAAGUUGAUAAGUGCUUAGAAACCAAGGUAACUGAUAAGAAUUUGUUCUCCGUCUUCACCCUUUCACCCACGGAUCACCACAACUGUUCUCUAGACAAGACAAACACUGCUGAGCGUGAAACCCUAAAGCACUGCUUUCAGAGAUGAGGACAGAAAGUGAAACAGGUUUUGGUCAGCAGAGACUUCAGGAAUAUCUCCAAGGCCCGAGCUUAUGGAUGCAGUAUGGGAUUUCACAGCUCUACAACACUUUCAGCAUGUAUUUACAUACUUGCUUUGACAUAAUACAGUUACCAUUUAACACUGGCUAACAACAAAUAUCUACACCAUCACAGCAGAAAACAGUUCCUAUCACCUGGAGGGAUGUAUCUUAGUGCAAUAAACUGAACAGUUUAUUGUUGA